This 1133-nucleotide long non-coding RNA is filed under the name Mus musculus (house mouse). Its description in RNAcentral is "Pvt1 oncogene". The stretch from base 43 to 199 matches the Rfam family "Pvt1 oncogene conserved region 1". The record is from RNAcentral. Lineage: Eukaryota; Metazoa; Chordata; Mammalia; Rodentia; Muridae.
CCCGCCAGCCCCGCGCUCUACCAGGCAGAGCGCGUGUGGCCGCCGAGCACAUGGACCCACUGGUCAAGCGGGCUCGGCAAGGCCAGGAUGAAGAGAAGCUACGAACUUAGCAUUCCCAGAGCCCCCCGAGUGGAUAUCCGCGUGGAAAGGAUGUUGGCAGCCCCGGUGACCUCGGAGUCACGGCUGGAUCCACCCUCUUGUCUGAUUUUCUUAACUCUACUACGGUAAGAAGAUGCCCUCCAUCAGCAGGCCGUGUCUGCUGGGACCUCUCUGGAGACUUCCUGAACCCUGUGGAUUUACAGUAAGAUGCAGUUUCCUGGGGAGUAAUUCUGGUGGAUACAAAUUCCGGAGUAUUACACCUGGCUUGCCUGGAGAUGUUACAAGUAGCUGGAUGGAUUCUUCAGCCUGGAUGCCCACUGAAAACAAGGACCGAAACUAAGAGGAUUGUAUCUCUACCCUUGACUCAAUGAGAAUGUUUGUUGUCAUCUCUCGGGCUACCUGGAGCUCCCUCUAAAAUAGAGCCGAGUUCUGUCACCACAGACAUUGGCAGUGGCACUUGCAUGCCCCUGGCAAGCAGUCUAUCCUGAGGUGGAGGAAGUUGCCCUUGAGUUCUGGCUGGUAACCAGCACAGGGGCUGGGACACUGCCUGAUUGAGGUGGCCAUUGAGAAUUCAAGUGUACCUCUUGGUCCCUGAUGCAGAAAUGAAGUCCCCAGCAUGCUCAAGAAGAGCUUCCUUGGAGGAUGAGAGGCAUGGGAAUCUAAGGGUACCUGGAGGCACAGCAGCCAUGUUGAACCUAUGAGGUGAUGAAAAACCAUGCAACUAGAAACCAGAAUGGAAGAAAAGAAGAAGCUGGAUCCUUGACUGAAUUGUCGAUGGGGGAUAGUCCAUCAUCCCAGGGCUAAGACCACCUCCAGAUUUCUUGUUUGGUGAAACAAGUCCUGAUUGUUUACAUUCCCUCGUGUUGAGCUGUCUCUUGCUUGUAGCUGAAAGCAUUUCUAAUAGAUAUUCAGAUUAUCAGCCUUAGCUCCAAGCUAGAAUACUCUAUGGGACCUUAGCUUCUCCAUGAAUUCCUUUGCUCAUCUGUGUAAUGCUCAAUAAAUGUAAAUUGAACCCUGAAUGAGGGACAAUGACA